UACAGAGGUCCCAAGCGUUGUUCGGAUUCACUGGGCGUAAAGGGUGCGUAGGUGGUGAGGUAAGUUUGAUGUGAAAGCUCCGAGCUCAACUCGGAAAUGGCAUUGACUACUAUCUUGCUGGAGGAUUGGAGGGGGGACUGGAAUUCUCGGUGUAGCAGUGAAAUGCGUAGAUAUCGAGAGGAACACCAGUGGCGAAGGCGAGUCCCUGGACAACACCUGACACUGAGGCACGAAAGCUAGGGGAGCAAACAGG
This 253-nucleotide ribosomal RNA is filed under the name uncultured bacterium. RNAcentral's name for it is "partial 16S ribosomal RNA". It matches the Rfam family "Bacterial small subunit ribosomal RNA", at positions 524 to 776 of the family's 1533-position model. The record is from RNAcentral.